RNAcentral lists this ribosomal RNA (468 nucleotides) under uncultured bacterium. Its description in RNAcentral is "partial 16S ribosomal RNA". It matches the Rfam family "Bacterial small subunit ribosomal RNA", at positions 28 to 507 of the family's 1533-position model. The record is from RNAcentral.
GACGAACGCUGGCGGCGUGCUUAACACAUGCAAGUCGAACGGAAAGGCCCUGCUUUUGUGGGGUGCUCGAGUGGCGAACGGGUGAGUAACACGUGAGUAACCUGCCCUUGACUUUGGGAUAACUUCAGGAAACUGGGGCUAAUACCGGAUAGGAGCUCCUGCUGCAUGGUGGGGGUUGGAAAGUUUCGGCGGUUGGGGAUGGACUCGCGGCUUAUCAGCUUGUUGGUGGGGUAGUGGCUUACCAAGGCUUUGACGGGUAGCCGGCCUGAGAGGGUGACCGGCCACAUUGGGACUGAGAUACGGCCCAGACUACUACGGGAGGCAGCAGUGGGGAAUAUUGCACAAUGGGCGGAAGCCUGAUGCAGCAACGCCGCGUGCGGGAUGACGGCCUUCGGGUUGAAAACCGCUUUCGCCUGUGACGAAGCGUGAGUGACGGUAAUGGGUAAAGAAGCACCGGCUAACUACGUG